Small nuclear RNA from Cavia porcellus (domestic guinea pig), 168 nucleotides. Its record names the gene U1. It matches the Rfam family "U1 spliceosomal RNA". From Rfam's summary of the family: U1 is a small nuclear RNA (snRNA) component of the spliceosome (involved in pre-mRNA splicing). Its 5' end forms complementary base pairs with the 5' splice junction, thus defining the 5' donor site of an intron. The record is from Ensembl. Lineage: Eukaryota; Metazoa; Chordata; Mammalia; Rodentia; Caviidae.
AUACUUAACUGGCAAGGGAAAUACCAUGAUCAUGAAGGAGGUUUUCCCAGGUCCCCAGGGCAAGGCUUAUCCAUUGCACUCCGGAUGUGCUGACCACUGAGAUUUCCCCCAAAUGCAGAAAAUUGCAUAAUUUGUGGUAGUGGGGGACUGAUUUCGUGCUCUCCUCUG